UAGGGAAUCUUCGGCAAUGGACGGAAGUCUGACCGAGCAACGCCGCGUGAGUGAAGAAGGUUUUCGGAUCGUAAAGCUCUGUUGUAAGAGAAGAACGAGUGUGAGAGUGGAAAGUUCACACUGUGACGGUAUCUUACCAGAAAGGGACGGCUAACUACGUGCCAGCAGCCGCGGUAAUACGUAGGUCCCGAGCGUUUUCNNUUUUNUUGGGCGUAAAGCGAGCGCAGGCGGUUAGAUAAGUCUGAAGUUAAAGGCUGUGGCUUAACCAUAGUAGGCUUUGGAAACUGUUUAACUUGAGUGCAAGAGGGGAGAGUGGAAUUCCAUGUGUAGCGGUGAAAUGCGUAGAUAUAUGGAGGAACACCGGUGGCGAAAGCGGCUCUCUGGCUUGUAACUGACGCUGAGGCUCGAAAGCGUGGGGAGCAAACAGGAUUAGAUACCCUGGUAGUCCACGCUGUAAACGAUGAGUGCUAGGUGUUAGACCCUUUCCAGGGUUUAGUGCCGUAGCUAACGCAUUAAGCACUCCGCCUGGGGAGUACGACCGCAAGGUUG
RNAcentral lists this ribosomal RNA (549 nucleotides) under uncultured bacterium. RNAcentral describes it as "bacterial SSU rRNA". It matches the Rfam family "Bacterial small subunit ribosomal RNA", at positions 355 to 896 of the family's 1533-position model. The record is from RNAcentral.